This 176-nucleotide small RNA is filed under the name Peptococcaceae bacterium SCADC1_2_3. RNAcentral describes it as "c-di-AMP riboswitch aptamer (ydaO/yuaA leader)". It matches the Rfam family "c-di-AMP riboswitch aptamer (ydaO/yuaA leader)". From Rfam's summary of the family: This family represents a conserved RNA structure found upstream of the ydaO and yuaA genes in Bacillus subtilis and related genes in other bacteria. Lineage: Bacteria; Bacillati; Bacillota; Clostridia; Eubacteriales; Peptococcaceae. The record is from Rfam by way of RNAcentral. RNAcentral also lists the same sequence under 1 other name.
AAAACGGUAGCGCUUAAUUCUUUGACUUUUUCAAAGAAACGGGGGAACCAAUUCCAGGGGUGAAUCCUUUAGCCUUAAAAAAAGAUUAUCUUUAAAAGGAUCUAUUUGCGCUAAAGGUAGGGUUGCCCUUUAACCCGAACCCGUCAGCUAACUUCGUAAGCGUAAAAAGGGUAUUU